RNAcentral lists this ribosomal RNA (301 nucleotides) under uncultured bacterium. Its description in RNAcentral is "partial 16S ribosomal RNA". It matches the Rfam family "Bacterial small subunit ribosomal RNA", at positions 509 to 807 of the family's 1533-position model. The record is from RNAcentral.
CAGUCGCCGCGGGAAUACGAAGGGGGCUAGCGUUGCUCGGAAUGACUGGGCGUAAAGGGCGCGUAGGCAGUUUUGACAGUCAGAUGUGAAAUUCCUGGGCUUAACCUGGGGGCUGCAUUUGAGACGUCAAGACUAGAGUGUGAGAGAGGGUUGUGGAAUUCCCAGUGUAGAGGUGAAAUUCGUAGAUAUUGGGAAGAACACCGGUGGCGAAGGCGGCAACCUGGCUCAUUACUGACGCUGAGGCGCGAAAGCGUGGGGAGCAAACAGGAUUAGAUACCCCCGUAGUCCCUGUCUCUUAUAC